This 478-nucleotide ribosomal RNA is filed under the name uncultured bacterium. RNAcentral's name for it is "partial 16S ribosomal RNA". It matches the Rfam family "Bacterial small subunit ribosomal RNA", at positions 28 to 507 of the family's 1533-position model. The record is from RNAcentral.
GAUGAACGCUGGCGGCGUGCUUAACACAUGCAAGUCGAACGAGAAAUGUAGACGGAAACCUUCGGGCGGAAGCCUUCAUUUCGAGUGGCGGACGGGUGAGUAACGCGUGGGUAACCUGCCUCAUACAGGGGGAUAACAGUUGGAAACGACUGUUAAUACCGCAUAAGACCACAGCAUCGCAUGAUGCGGGGGUAAAAACUCCGGUGGUAUGAGAUGGACCCGCGUUCGAUUAGCCAGUUGGCGGGGUAACGGCCCACCAAAGCGACGAUCGAUAGCCGAUCUGAGAGGAUGACCGGGCACAUUGGGACUGAGACACGGCCCCAACUCCUACGGGAGGCAGCAGUGGGGAAUAUUUCACAAUGGGGGAAACCCUGAUGCAGCGACGCCGCGUGAGUGAAGAAGUACUUCGGUAUGUAAAGCUCUAUCAGCAGGGAAGAAAAUGACGGUACCUGAGUAAGAAGCCCCGGCUAACUACGUG